AACGAACGCUGGCGGCAUGCCUAACACAUGCAAGUCGAACGAGACCUUCGGGUCUAGUGGCGCACGGGUGCGUAACGCGUGGGAACCUGCCCUUAGGUUCGGAAUAACUCCCCGUAAGUGGUGCUAAUACCGGAUAAUGUCUUCGGACCAAAGAUUUAUCGCCUUUGGAUGGGCCCGCGUUGGAUUAGCUAGUUGGUAGGGUAAAAGCCUACCAAGGCGACGAUCCAUAGCUGGUCUGAGAGGAUGAUCAGCCACACUGGGACUGAGACACGGCCCAGACUCCUACGGGAGGCAGCAGUGGGGAAUAUUGGACAAUGGGCGAAAGCCUGAUCCAGCAAUGCCGCGUGAGUGAUGAAGGCCUUAGGGUUGUAAAGCUCUUUUACCCGGGAUGAUAAUGACAGUACCGGGAGAAUAAGCUCCGGCUAACUCCGUG
RNAcentral lists this ribosomal RNA (433 nucleotides) under uncultured bacterium. Its description in RNAcentral is "partial 16S ribosomal RNA". It matches the Rfam family "Bacterial small subunit ribosomal RNA", at positions 29 to 507 of the family's 1533-position model. The record is from RNAcentral.